CCGGAGUGGGCCUGCUCAUACGAACUCAUCUCCUGCCUUUUACCGGAUGUGACCGUGAGUUGGCUCAAAAUACUCCAAUACCCUAAUCUUUGGAACAAACCAUCUGGACAUCCAGAAU
This 118-nucleotide small nuclear RNA is filed under the name Sordaria macrospora k-hell. Its description in RNAcentral is "U5 spliceosomal RNA". It matches the Rfam family "U5 spliceosomal RNA". Rfam says of the family: U5 RNA is a component of both types of known spliceosome. The precise function of this molecule is unknown, though it is known that the 5' loop is required for splice site selection and p220 binding, and that both the 3' stem-loop and the Sm site are important for Sm protein binding and cap methylation. The record is from Rfam by way of RNAcentral. Lineage: Eukaryota; Fungi; Ascomycota; Sordariomycetes; Sordariales; Sordariaceae.